GCGCGAAAACUUCGCACUGUGCGAAAGCACGACGAGGGAAUCCCAAGUGCUGGCUCGUAAGAGUCAGCUGUUUUUCUGUCUAAAAAGCAGGGAGAGUAAGAGCUGGGUAAGACGGGUGCCAGCCGCCGCGGUAAUACCUGCAGCUCAAGUGGUGGCCGCUAUUAUUGGGCCUAAAACGUCCGUAGCCGGUUCUAUAAAUGCCUGGGUAAAUCGUACGGCUUAACCGUACGAAUUCCGGGUAGACUGUUCAACUUGGGACCGGGAGAGGCUAGAGGUACUCCUGGGGUAGAGGUGAAAUUCUGUAAUCCUAGGGGGACCACCAGUGGCGAAGGCGUCUAGCUAGAACGGGUCUGACGGUGAGGGACGAAGCCCUGGGGAGCAAACGGGAUUAGAUACCCCGGUAGUCCCAGCUGUAAACGAUGCGCGUUAGGUGUGUCAGUGACCACGUGUCACUGAUGUGCCGAAGGGAACCGUGAAACGCGCCGCCUGGGGAUACGGUCGCAAGGCUGAAACUUAAGGAAUUGGCGGGGGA
RNAcentral lists this ribosomal RNA (532 nucleotides) under uncultured Thermoplasmatales archaeon. RNAcentral's name for it is "bacterial SSU rRNA". It matches the Rfam family "Archaeal small subunit ribosomal RNA", at positions 339 to 875 of the family's 1478-position model. The record is from RNAcentral. Lineage: Archaea; Methanobacteriati; Thermoplasmatota; Thermoplasmata; Thermoplasmatales.